UACGGGGGGUGCGAGCGUUGUCCGGAAUCACUGGGCGUAAAGGGCGCGUAGGUGGUUUGAUAAGGGUGUGGUGAAAGUCCGGGGCUCAACCCCGGAUCUGCCGUGCCGACUGUCAAACUCGAGGACUGUAGAGGCAGACGGAAUUCCGGGUGUAGCGGUGGAAUGCGUAGAGAUCUGGAGGAAGACCGGUGGCGAAGGCGGUCUGCUGGGCAGUUUCUGACACUGAGGCGCGACAGCGUGGGGAGCAAACAGG
This 253-nucleotide ribosomal RNA is filed under the name uncultured bacterium. RNAcentral's name for it is "partial 16S ribosomal RNA". It matches the Rfam family "Bacterial small subunit ribosomal RNA", at positions 524 to 776 of the family's 1533-position model. The record is from RNAcentral.